UCCGAUAUGGUGUAGUGGCUAACAUUAUCGCCUCUCAUAAUUUCUAAGUACCACCGUAUGAGUAUUGCGCGAUAGCCCGGGGUUCGAUUCCCCGUGUCGGAA
This is a non-coding RNA of Rhodocollybia butyracea, 102 nucleotides long. Lineage: Eukaryota; Fungi; Basidiomycota; Agaricomycetes; Agaricales; Omphalotaceae. The record is from the annotation of a GenBank genome assembly.